Molecule: ribosomal RNA, 422 nt
Filed under: uncultured bacterium
Lineage: Bacteria
Description: partial 16S ribosomal RNA
Rfam family: Bacterial small subunit ribosomal RNA
Source: RNAcentral
UUUUGGACAAUGGGGGAAACCCUGAUCCAGCCAUCCCGCGUGUAUGAUGAAGGCCUUCGGGUUGUAAAGUACUUUUGGCAGAGAAGAAAAGGAAUCCCCUAAUACGGGAUACUGCUGACGGUAUCUGCAGAAUAAGCACCGGCUAACUACGUGCCAGCAGCCGCGGUAAUACGUAGGGUGUAAGCGUUAAUCGGAAUUACUGGGCGUAAAGCGUGUGUAAGCUGUUCGGAAAGAAAUAUACUACAUCCCAGGGCUCAACCUUGGAACUGCAUUAUUAACUGCCAAACUAGAGUAUGUCAGAGGUGGAUAGAAUUCCACGUGUAGCAGUGAAAUGCGUAGAUAUAUGGAGGAAUACCCAUAGCGAAAGCAGCCCCCUGGGAUAAUACUGACGCUCAGACACGAAAGCGUGGGGAGCAAACAGG